This is a long non-coding RNA of Salvia miltiorrhiza (redroot sage), 1370 nucleotides long. RefSeq lists it as uncharacterized. The record is from RefSeq and is a predicted model, not a curated record. The transcript has 4 exons. NCBI's taxonomy places the organism in Eukaryota, Viridiplantae, Streptophyta, Magnoliopsida, Lamiales, Lamiaceae.
UCUCUCUUCUCCACCCCAUUUUCGGUCAUCUCUCUCUCCCCUUCAUCUCUCUACUUUCCUCCAUUGUUAGCCAUUGAUGAAACCUCCGAAGCUCUACCAAGUAUGCCAAACACAUAAAUCACUACUUAAAUCCUCCAUAAACACAUCCUAUUAACUUAAAUCCAAGAGAAUCCUUGAAGAUUGGUUUCAAGAAUAGUGAGAGAAAAUUUGGAUAAUUGGUGAAAACUUGGACACGAGCAGAGCAAGGAAGUAAGUAACUCCACUUUGACGGGAGUUUUUGAGUAAGGUCUUCAGGCUAAGCGAGGAGUGAGAUUGGUCUGGUGCUGGUGGGGAAUCGUUAGAUGACGUAUUUACUUUAUCGUAUUUCCUUUUUAUCGAUAAAGUCUUGAUGUGAAGUUACUUUGAAUAUGAAUCAAGUAAUAUACUCACGGUUAUGUGUCUCCAUACAUGUAACUGGUUCGCCUUUUGCUGCGAUACUCUGCAUAUUAUGUUUCCUUAUGAAAAAUAAGCUAUACCUGUUUUAUUUUUAUUCGUGAAAUUCCUGAUAAUUAAAAAGUUACAACGACGUUGACGAUUUUACCCUUGGGUUCAAUUGAUAAUAUUUUCCUUAGCAUGCUUUGAUGUGAGCUUCCGCUUGAUGUUCGACCUAUUCUUCUUAUCUUUUAUUCUUUAAAAAUAGUCGUAUCGACACUCGUACCCCACUAUCACUAGUGUCGGGAUUUCGGGCUGCGACAGGGUGGUAUCAGAGCAGGUCAUCUGCUCUGAGUCUAUUGCUUGACUGAGUUGAACCUUUGAUUACUGGUAUCUUUUUAACUUGAGUACUAGUCUAAUUUGAAUUCUUAGGCUAGUUUGAGAGAGUCAGUUUGAAACGAAACCCCAGCACCCCAUCUCCUCCGGCUUAACGAGGUAAGAGGUUGAUGUUGUUUCUUAUUGCUUUUCUGUUAAAAGCUGAGUUUGGGUUACUAAUGAGUUAUGAAUUGUUUUGAUGACGGAAUUAUUUGAGAUGAUGGAAUCUGAUAUGAGGCAGUUGAUGUGGAAUAUGAGGAGGAAUGUUGAGGCUAGUAUAGCCGAUGCCCCACCGUACCAAACGAGGACGAGAUGCCGAGUCAUAUCGAGACAGCGAUGCAGCGAUGGUUCAGGGAGUAUAUCCCGGACGAGGAUGACACCUUGGGUGAACUUCUGGCACACUAUCACCGACGAUGGAGGAGGGCUAUUCCCUAUGGGAUCGAUGGCGCGGAGGCCAUUACGCUUUUGAUUCCACUACUGCCACCUUUGUGGCGAGACUGGGCGACAUCUUUAGUGCCCCAGUACGUAGAUACUACCUGGUUGGAGGGCAUCAGGUACGGAGACCUUAGUGGCUUCAUCGCGAC